GAUCCUGGCUCAGGAUGAACGCUAGCUACAGGCUUAACACAUGCAAGUCGAGGGGCAGCAUGGUCUUAGCUUGUCUAAGGCUGAUGGCGACUGGCGCACGGGUGAGUAACACGUAUCCAACCGUGCCGUCUACUCUUGGCCAGCCUUCUAAAAGGAAGAUUAAUCCAGGAUGGGAUCAUGAGUUCACAUGUCCGCAUGAUUAAAGGUAUUUUCCGGUAGACGAUGGGG
RNAcentral lists this ribosomal RNA (228 nucleotides) under uncultured bacterium. Its description in RNAcentral is "partial 16S ribosomal RNA". It matches the Rfam family "Bacterial small subunit ribosomal RNA", at positions 15 to 230 of the family's 1533-position model. The record is from RNAcentral.